CAGCAGCCGCGGGAAUACGGAGGGUGCAAGCGUUACUCGGAAUCACUGGGCGUAAAGGACGCGUAGGCGGAUUAUCAAGUCUCUUGUGAAAUCUAACGGCUUAACCGUUAAACUGCUUGGGAAACUGAUAAUCUAGAGUAAGGGAGAGGCAGAUGGAAUUCUUGGUGUAGGGGUAAAAUCCGUAGAUAUCAAGAAGAAUACCUAUUGCGAAGGCGAUCUGCUGGAACUUAACUGACGCUAAUGCGUGAAAGCGUGGGGAGCAAACAGGAUUAGAUACCCGAGUAGUCCCUGUCUCUUAUAC
Molecule: ribosomal RNA, 301 nt
Filed under: uncultured bacterium
Lineage: Bacteria
Description: partial 16S ribosomal RNA
Rfam family: Bacterial small subunit ribosomal RNA
Source: RNAcentral